UUUACUGUAGAUAAUG
This 16-nucleotide small RNA is filed under the name Arabidopsis thaliana (thale cress). Its description in RNAcentral is "ATSL292620". The record is from RNAcentral. Lineage: Eukaryota; Viridiplantae; Streptophyta; Magnoliopsida; Brassicales; Brassicaceae.